Molecule: long non-coding RNA, 2893 nt
Organism: Photinus pyralis (common eastern firefly)
Lineage: Eukaryota; Metazoa; Arthropoda; Insecta; Coleoptera; Lampyridae
Exons: 3
Source: RefSeq, a predicted model, not a curated record
UCGAAAAAUGAUGUGUAAGUUUAAUUUUUGAGAGUAGUACUGAGUGUACCGUACAAUGUUCGUCAUACUAAGUGAGAUAGUAACGCAAUAAUUGCGAAUAUUCCACAUGUAGAGGGCAAAUUGCUGUUGCAUGUAGAACGCCAUGUGUUCUUUUGCAAUCAGAGGUUAUCAUCAUUUCUAUGACUGACCUAUCACUUGGUCAUACCUAUUGCUUUUUAUUCCAAUUAAAGGGGGGGGAGGACAACUUCGAGUUACGAUUUAUUCAAAUUUUACCAUCAACAUCGGAAAGGGAAAAAGUCUAGGGCAAUAUUUGAUGAUUGGAAUCCAGUGACCUAACUUGGUCCAGCUGAGCGUUGUGAUAUCUGGGAAUUGUGACAUGGUAUUCCACGCAUGACAACUAAGACAAAGACAACCUUUAACCUUAGGGGAUUUCUAAUUUUCUGCAAAUUCAUACAGUUGCGCAGCCUUUAAGGCACGUUCAGGAAAUCAUCUAGGAGGUCUAGGGGAGCAGAUUCUUUCAUCGUAAGUACGGGAGUGGCGCCGUGGUUCACCUCAAAUUUUAGAGGAUCCAGGGGUUCCCCAACAACUGCUGCAAUUGUAGAAACACCUAGAGGAAGUGCUGGAUUGAUACAGUCAGGAUACAGCGGCCAGGUUGAAAUGAACAUUGAUAAGCGAUUUGGCUAACAACGGGAACUUGAGUUCGUCAAGGUCUUUUCCUGGCUUGAAUCCAAUCCAUAAUUUAGUAUUCAUGACACCCUUGUCAUGGUAGAAGUUCCUGCUUCCUGUGCACGAACAGUAGGCAAGAUCUUCUACCAUGCUCCAAAAAUCGCAUCCAAGAAUGAUGAAUGAGGGUGUCAUGAAUACUGAGUGAUGGAUUAUGAUGUAACAGGUGGUCACUUUACCAUGUCAAAAAUAGAUUUUGAAUUUGCAUUUUGUUAAACAGGAAAAUUUACAUAUAUACCGCUUCAUAGCGAACAUGAACAAAAGUAUGUCUGGCGAUAACAAGCAACAUUUGGGAAGGCGAGCGCGGUUGCCACGAUAUCUUCAACCCAAAAGAGUUUCAAAGCUGAGCAGGUCCGUGCCGAUUUUCGCGAACUGUCACGUACUACGAGAGGAACGCUGAAUUUGAAUUCUUAGUGAAGUUACGAGCGUUAGCACCCACAAUUUGGGGUGCGUUUAUUAUUAUUGUUACUAUUGGUUUAUUUCGCGUGUUGUGAGAAAUUUCGCGGAUGUGUGAAGAUUCGUUGUGAGAUUUUGAGAACCAGAACGUGCAUUUAUUGACAGUUGAUAGUAGUAAAGAAUUAGCAAUUUAACUUUGGGUAAAAACAUAUUCAGUAGCGAGAAGGAGAGUUUCCUGCAGUUUUAUGUGUGCGAAUAGACAGAUUACCGUAAAUUACGGGAUGAGAUUUCUAGCAAGGUUUUUUUUUUAUUUGCGAGUGGUCAAAUAUACCUGAAGGGACAUUUUCCAGUCGAAGAACCGCUUUUCAAAUUAAAAACGAGAUUAAGUAAACUGAUAUUAAAAUCAUUGUGAUAGCUUUGGAUCGCUAACCGUAACGGCUGGUUAAAAGCAAACUUUUUGAAGUGAGUUAGUUAAGCAGCCUGAUUUCUAGCAAAACCUUUUUAUUUGCGUGUGGUCAAAUAUACCUGAAGGGACAUUUUCCAAUCGGAGAACCACCUUUCAAAUUAUAAAACGAGAUUAAGUAUGCAAUGAUUGUUUCGGAUCGCUAAUCGUAACGGCUCGUUAAAAGCAAGAUCCCUAAAGUUAAGUGAAGUCUUUGGACAUCGCAGUUGCUUUUCGGGUUUUCUGAUGGUGAAUCAGCCAUUCAGGAAAAAUCGUUCGUAGUCCUCAGAUGAAGCCUUUCUCUCAAGACGGUUUAUACUUUGCGUAUAGAAAAUAGGACUUGUUUGCAAGUAGGGCAGCAUCUUUUUUACAGAUUUUAGGUGCAACUCACAAUUUCCACUUGCUCUUCGCAUUUUUGAGCAUCAUAACUCCCUACAGCCACCUCCAAUCCAUUAUAUAGCCAAUCGAUCCAAGCAAAAACAGAAUGAGAUGAAACACUCGCUUAGUUGUAUCAUGACACUAUUAAAAUCUCCAAUAAAAUUGUUACGUUGGGCAAAGGUAAUAAAAUUACCUUGAGAUAAGCACACGUUAAGUGAAUACCAAUCAAAUAUAAUAAUUACAAUUCGAUUGCAUCGAAAACCAAUAUGUAAGCAAACGUAAAAAUCAAGGAAUCAACGAAAAUAACAAAAUAUACCUUUGAACUUCGGGUCGCAACCUUAUGAGCUCAGAAGGGUGCGUUAUGCAGAUCUGUUAACGAUAAAACACAACAAGCAUACAAAAGUGUUAGUGAAUCGCGCUGCUACAUAAUAUUGCGAAAUAGCAAUACUAACAUGUGCCAAUGUUGUCCAAGUAGGACAACGUAAAAGAUAAUAAAAAAAAAACUUUGAGUGAAUACUGCUUAAUUAUGUAGCAUACCUCGAAUUGUUCAAAUGCAAUAAUACUAAUCCCUAAAACGAUUCAAUGGAGUCACCAAGACAUCACAGAGAAAGAAAGAAAUCACUCCCCCCAUCACUAAUCCCAAGAAAGGUAAGACCCUAGUCAGUAAAAGUAAUGGAGUACCAAAAGACCCUUGCAAGUAAUCAAUUCAAAGGCAGAAACUUUACUGAAGAGGAAGUAGUACAACUGCGCAGACAAGAUAAACAUAAAGGAGAAGGAAUAACAUUGGAAACACUAUGGAAGACACUGCGCGACCUCGGUCGGCGAGGCAAAUAACUAGGUACAGUAUUCAAGUUAAAGACGAUUGUCACUCAAACAGAUCUACAUACUAAACAGAAGAAAAGUUAAUUAGGCAUCAUCCGGCAGCGGGCACGAGAUAAGAAAGGAACGGAUACA